This 253-nucleotide ribosomal RNA is filed under the name uncultured bacterium. RNAcentral's name for it is "partial 16S ribosomal RNA". It matches the Rfam family "Bacterial small subunit ribosomal RNA", at positions 524 to 776 of the family's 1533-position model. The record is from RNAcentral.
GACGAACCGAGCGAACGUUGUUCGGAAUCACUGGGCUUAAAGGGCGCGUAGGCGGGUGCUCAAGUCCGGGGUGAAAUCCUCCAGCCCAACUGGAGAACUGCCUCGGAUACUGGGUGCCUCGAGGGUGGUAGGGGUAUGCGGAACUAUCGGUGGAGCGGUGAAAUGCGUUGAUAUCGAUAGGAACUCCGGUGGCGAAGGCGGCAUACUGGACCACAUCUGACGCUGAGGCGCGAAAGCCAGGGGAGCAAACGGG